GGAACACUCUCGGCCCUCUUCAGCCACUCCCUCCCCAACCCACACGCCAUCAACCUCCAGACCCUCUCGCCGUGGCUUAGAGGUGUCUCUGACAACGUGGCACACUGGGAAGGCCUUCUUUCCUGCUACCAAUACAAAUGCAUUCUGAAUUUGAUAUGUCAUUAAAUGUAAAAAUACAGCCAAUUUGAAACAAGCAAAUGGAAAUUCCCAGGAACCAAAAACAGAAAGAAAAAUCAGAGCUACCGCAGUGCUGUCCCUGCAGACAGAAUUUGGGAGAGGUACUCAGAGUCACCUCCUGUGAGCCUAUGCAAGCCAGCUCCUGCACAACCCUGGUUUUAGUCCAGGUAAAGGCCCGCCCAGGUGUUUGAAUAUGGACUCCUCACAUACUUCUGCAGACUCCAGCUUUGGGUUGACCCAUCGGGGAGAGGGAACUUAGCAUGAACCCUUGUAUAAAAAUGAAAAUCUCUUUCAUUGGAAGGGAAGAUCACUGACUGGGCUAGUCUCCCAAGACCUAGGAAAGAGCUUGGCUGUCAGAGGGUGAGCUAGGGAACGAACUGUGCUUGUUGAUAUCCACAUCCAAGGCUGAUGGCCGGAGGAGGCAGUUAAGAGCAAAAGGCAAUGGACCAAACUACAUCAAAGAUGGGAUUAUAACAAAACUUUAAAAGUUGGUUUACAAUGCAGAAAAUUCAUUCUUCUGGAAACAGACUUGAAAAAAAUAAAAUAUUUACUCUACCUUUCUUGUUCAGAACCAUGCCUUAGGCCUUCUGCAGAAUUCCACAUUAAACAGGAUGAAGAAUAGGUUGUUAGCAGACUGAGGUACUUGGGGCAACAUUUCGUACACAACAGGAGGGAGAAACGACUCCAGAAAAACAAUCAGAUUUUGGUGAAACUGAUGUUUGCAAGUGUGAGUGAGCCCCAUGUGCUGAAGCUUCAGGAACCCCUGAGAUGGCACAAGUUCUGCCGUACUGGGCAACGGAUGGUCUUGAAGCACACAAGACACUGGAAGACAUGAGGGCAAUUGCUACACGCCAAGCCCGGUGCCAAGCACGUUGUGCAGGUUGUUUCGUUGAUUCCGGGCCUGGCCUUUGAGAUCUGUGGAGGAUACCAUGAACUGGCUGGCUCUGCAUCCUGCUUGCAGGCGCUGGCAAGCUGGAACCUGCUUUUCUACGCCACACUGCAGAGGGCCCUGAAUGUGAUCUAUGAUUGCAACAAGCAGCCCUGAUGCGGAUCCGGAGGGCAGGGAUGACGUGGGGGCUGCCUUUCUGGUUGACCUGCUGGUUGUCUUGUGGUAGAGGAGAUUUUGCCUUGCAAUUUUACAUACUUAUGCUACGUGGAAGGCUGGGUGGCGUGACUUCAGAAAAAUGUUUCCUCAGGAAAGAGACACACAGAGAGAGAGAGAAAGAGAGAAAGAGAGAACCCACCUACCUGUUUUGCAAAAGUCUCAUGAAUCAUCCCUUCCUGUGGUCCUGCUCCCUGAGAUCCUUUCACCGCUCACAGUGGGCUACUUCUAAGAGCGUGCCUGGCACAGGGUCACUGAGAGCAUAGUCUUAAUAAAACAAUGAUGGAU
RNAcentral lists this long non-coding RNA (1567 nucleotides) under Homo sapiens (human). Its description in RNAcentral is "long intergenic non-protein coding RNA 929". Lineage: Eukaryota; Metazoa; Chordata; Mammalia; Primates; Hominidae. The record is from RNAcentral.